Molecule: long non-coding RNA, 1471 nt
Organism: Hippocampus zosterae (dwarf seahorse)
Lineage: Eukaryota; Metazoa; Chordata; Actinopteri; Syngnathiformes; Syngnathidae
Exons: 4
Source: RefSeq, a predicted model, not a curated record
GGAGAAUUAGUUUGUGCCCGAUGCAGAACAGAGAUUGAUUUAAGGUAUUCCUUCCUAUGCAUAACCAGUACUUGCUGGGGAGACUGGGUACCUGUAAGGACAGAAGAAGGACACAAUCGCUUCUGAGACGCUGGUUAUUGUCCUAGCCCCCCCCCAAAAAAAAUAAAAUAUAUAGCUAAAAUGUGUAAUUAAUGUGCUGUAGUUUUCCAAAAAGAUGCUAACGGAAAUUAUUUUCUACUACCAUCAUGACAUAAUCAUUGGCGUUUGUGUGGGGAAUUUGCGCCCUCUUGUGACGAUACUAAAAAACUCUUCAAGCAUUUAGCUAAUCAGUGAAUUCAGUGAUCAAUGUCAAGGAUUUGUCAUCCACUUUGUUCGGAGAUCUCUUCACAUGCGGUCUCUUCGGAAAGUCAAAUCUCCCAACCUUUAUGUCACUUUACCUUCACAUUUGUUGGAUGACGUCAGGUCACAUUGUCUGUUGUAGUACCAAGAAUGAACUGUAAGAGGCAGCAUGGUGCCACUGGGCAGCCAGACUGCCGCAAUAUACAAAGAAAAGAAAAUAUGGCAGUAGAAAUUAGGAUACCUGUUGGAUUAUGUGGGAUUUUUACAGAGUGGCAAACUGUGAGACAUGUUACAUAUUAUACUGUUUUAGGCACAAUUUAGGCUGAACUCCAAAUUGUUUGAGUUUGGAGCUUCCACUGUACCAUCGUGAUCACCAUUCAGGGCCAAGUGUGCCUCAGGAGAGGAAGAUUUUUCUGGCAUCUCACACUUGAUGAUAAUGGACCACAUUUGGGUAUGAGACUCUUUUGCAGCAGCAGCAGCAAAAUCAUCACUGCAGGCAAGCAAAGAAAUGUUGCAAAUGCCCCUUUGAAAUUCUCUGCCAUAUCACAUCAAUAGUGACCUGCUGUUGGUUCAUUUUCACGGCCAUUUUGGUCUAAAUAUGUUCCGAGGCCCUCAGGCCAGCACUGACACAGUUUGCCAUGGAUAUUCCUCCACACUGUCGGGAACAUCAAAGAUGUGAAAGCCUGGAAGACUUUCCGACUCGAAACGUUUUCCAGCUGACACUCGCGGCCUUCAUUCAGAGGGACAAGGGAUCGGAACGAAGACUGAUGGCUGCAGACUGCACCCACCGGGUGAAAACGCCUCGCUGGCAGGACGUUGGUAUUAUUCAUCCCGUGACAGAAGGCCACCUGCACAUUCCUGGACGUUCUCUCCUCCGUAAAGCCCCAAGCUCGCAACUCCAGCCUGUCGUCGUCUUCGUCUCGCUCAUCCUCGCCCUCGUCGCCUUCCUCAAACACGCUGGUCUCCUCCACGGAAGUCUCCAUAUUGGUCGAUCCACGCCAGGCUGGGGAACUUCUUCGGCUCCUUCACCACCUCCGUCACAUCCUUGAGGACGGCCGCCGUCAGACGGUUGCCGUUGACGGCGAGCGUGGUCAACUUGGGCAAACCGCUUAGGACCGGCAGGAGCAGGCGC